UUUUUUUUUUAGCAGGAUCGACCUCGACUCCUCUUUCGUUCACAAUAAGCCUCGGCAGCCUACCGGACAGCACUCCAUAAGUGCACUGAUUCUGACUCAACAGUGUGAGUUAUCCCGACCGGUCAAACAACUUGAUCAAGUCCACCGGAUGCCCCUCUUCUACUUGGGACUUUGUCAUCAUGUCAUCAACAUGGCAUUCGCUUUCACGGUGAGUCAUAUCAUGAAACAAAGUCACCGUAACCCUUUGAUUCGUGGCACCGGCCUUCUUCUUCACUAGAGGAUAAUCUUCUCUCGAUGGUAGC
This 302-nucleotide long non-coding RNA is filed under the name Lathyrus oleraceus (garden pea). Its description in RNAcentral is "Pisum sativum (pea) long non-coding RNA (PSAT_LNC009269)". The record is from RNAcentral. Lineage: Eukaryota; Viridiplantae; Streptophyta; Magnoliopsida; Fabales; Fabaceae.